CGGCGCCUGGAGCCCAUGGAGCCCGCGGCCGGAGCGCCCCGGGGGAGCGGCGGCGCCGAGGCGCUGCUGGGCGAACUGGAGGCGAGGGUCCAGGACGUGGUGAGGGCGAGCUCGUGGUGGGAGCGCCAUGGCGUGGACUGCGCCAUCCUCGCGCUCAGCCUCCUUGCCUUGCCGCCCGGGUUCCUGUGCCUGCGCUCAGACAAUCUUCCGGUCUUUGCCCUGGGCAUCACCAUCCUGGGUGUGUGCCACUACACGCUCACUGUCAAGGGCAGCCACCUGGCCACUCAUGGUGCCCUCACCGAGUCCAAACGCUGGAGCAAGAUCUGGGCGCUCUUCUUCGUGGAGGUGUGCACAUCCUUCACUGCAGAGUACGCCAAGUACGGGCACGUCAAAAUGCACCAUGGCUACACCAACGUGCUGGGCCUGGGGGACUCCAGCACGUGGAGGCUGCCCUGCCUCAACCGCUAUGUCUACAUGUUCCUCGCUCCUCUCUUGAUCCCCCUCAUAACGCCGCUGGUGGCUGUCGAGCGGCUGAGAGAGGUGGAGCUCAGGACGGCCCUGCGGACGCUGGGCCUGAUUUCCCUGGGCCUUUAUUCUCACUACUGGCUGCUCCUGAACGUGUCUGGCUUCCAGAGCCCCGGCUCGGCCCUGGUCUGCAUGUUCAUCACCAGAUCCCUGCUGGCCCACCCUUACCUCCACGUCAACAUCUUCCAGCACAUCGGACUGCCCAUGUUCUCCCGGGACAAGAAGCCCCGACGGAUUCACAUGAUGAGCCUGGGAGUGCUUAACCUGCCCCGGCUGCCCGUGCUGGACUGGGCAUUUGGCCACUCCCUCAUCAGCUGCCACGUGGAGCAUCACCUCUUCCCCAGGCUCUCUGACCACAUGUGCCUGAAGGUGAAGCCCGUGGUGUCCCAGUUCCUUCAUGAGAAGCAGCUGCCAUACAACGAGGACUCCUACCUGGCUCGCUUCCGGCUGUUUCUCAAUCGCUACGAGGAGUUCAUGGUGCAGACGCCCCCCAUCACAGAGCUGGUGGGGCUGCAAUGAUGGGUGGACUGGCACAGUCACCCUGCCCUCCCUCCCAGGCCCAACCCUGGCUCUCCUGCUUCUGCUGGUCAUCCCUGGGGCCGGGAGGGCACAGGCCCUUGCCCAUGAAGUCCUUGGAUGAGGCGAAGGGCACGCUGACCCUGACCAUGGGGAGGCUAAAUGCCAGCAGAAGGGGUGGCAGAGGAGUCAGACGGCAGGUGAAGGCAUUCUCUGAGCCUGGUCAUGUUGAAAAAACCAUCUCUGGUGUGGCCUUGGUUGGCUGUGCUGGCUACCUGUCUCCAGAUCCAUUCCCCUCUUCUCCACCCUGCCUUCCUCCCCCAAAGCCCACAGCUGCUGUCUGGCACCCUCUCCUCCAGCUACAGCUCUCACUGCUUCCAAAACAGCUCUCUCCUUUUGCUUUUUCAGGGCCUGGGGGGGAGUGGCUUCUGGCUGUUGCUUGCCCAGGAGUGCUUCACCAUUUCUUUAAUCCUGCUACACCUCUGUACAAAACCCCUUCAUUAAACUCUCUUCAAUCAGCCCCUUUGAACAGACCAUCUGUUUCCUGUUGGGAGGCUGACUGAUAGAGCAGAGUUUGGGAUCCAAGCAGCCCUUUUGGAAUGACGCAGGUUUGGCAGCCUCCUGCUUUGCUAUAGGUUACUGCUGCUCUUUGGAAAUGCAUUAGCAACUCAAAAAUGGCCUUAAGGUCUGGGAAUGCGAUCAAUCAAACUGCUAAUUCCCCAUAUGAAAAAUGCAAUGUCAGAAAAGGCCCCAUUGCACAGUCCUGGCUAAUGAUUAAAACCAUCCUAAAAUGACUCACUGUUAUUGAUCUGGGCCCAAGUGCGAAAAGGACUGCAGCUGGACACCCUGGUACCAGAUGUGGCUGUACAACAGGCGCCCAGGAACAAGUCACUCCAUCACUUUGAGGCUUAAUUUUCUGUUGCUUGAUUUCUCUGAGGAUGAGUUGGGAAUGAGUGGGGCUGGCGAAAUGAGGGGAGAUGACAGGAGUGAAUCAAGCCCUUCCAAGGCUCUGCAGUGACCUCAGGUCUAAUUUACAGAGGCACGUCGGAGGUCAUAACAUUGAUGAUGAUGGUAGCAAAUGCCUGUUCAGAACUUGUGGCCCUUGUUUAUCUAUGCUAUCUAAUUUUCAUCUUUACAAGAAGUUGGUACUAUUUUCCCCUCACAUUACGUAUUGUGAAGAUAAGCCUUGGAGAGAUUAAACCUAUCAAUGUCAUAUAGCUAGUAAGUGGAGGAAGAAAGAUUCAAACCUAGUGUGUCUGAUUCCAGAAUCCUUUCUCUUAACCACCAGACAUACUACCCCUGGGUAGGGAGCCCUAUAGGGCUUUCUGGGGUUUCUGAUCCUGAAUCUCCUUCUGUUUCUCCCAUGUGCGAGGAUAACAAAUGGAUCAUUAAGACAAACUCUUGAUGAACUUCCAUUAUGUACCACAUACCGUGCAAAGCUCUGGGGAUGUAAGAGUGAAUGAUUUAGAGAUUUGCAGAUACUAACUACUAUAUGGAAAACAGAUAAACAACAAGUUUCUACUGUAUAGCACAGGCAACUAUAUUCAAUAUCUUUUAGUAACCUAUAAUGAAAAAGAAUAUGAAAAGGAAUACAUGUAUGUAUACGUAUGACUGAAACAUUAUGCCAUACACCAGAAAUUGACAAAAAAACCAAAAACAAAACAGUGAAUGAAAUUGGGCCCCAGUCUCCUGGAGCUUGUUGUCUUGUGCAGGAAUUUACAAACUUUUCCAGUCAAAGGCCAGAGAGUAAAUAUUUUGUAGAUGAUACAGUCUCUGUCACAACUACUCAACGGCACCAUCAAAGUGCAAAACAGCCAGAGACAAUAUGUAAAGAA
Molecule: RNA transcript, 2876 nt
Organism: Camelus dromedarius (Arabian camel)
Lineage: Eukaryota; Metazoa; Chordata; Mammalia; Artiodactyla; Camelidae
Gene: FADS6
Gene name: fatty acid desaturase 6
Exons: 7
Source: RefSeq, a predicted model, not a curated record